AGAAGGAAAGGGAAAAAAAAAAAAAAAACUUUUGUAGUGAUAAUCAGGAUGGUCCAUUUCAAACAGUUGGCAAGCAGGUCUGAGUAACAGUAGAGGAAAAAUUAGCAAGGGAAAAUAGGUUUUACUUUGUGUAAUGACCCAUCCACUCACAGUCUUUAUUCAAGACUAAUUAA
This is a non-coding RNA of Chelonoidis abingdonii (Abingdon island giant tortoise), 173 nucleotides long. Lineage: Eukaryota; Metazoa; Chordata; Testudines; Testudinidae. The record is from RefSeq and is a predicted model, not a curated record.